Molecule: long non-coding RNA, 1410 nt
Organism: Lotus japonicus
Lineage: Eukaryota; Viridiplantae; Streptophyta; Magnoliopsida; Fabales; Fabaceae
Exons: 2
Source: RefSeq, a predicted model, not a curated record
UUUAUCAAUCAAAUCACAUAUUACAUCUUUACUUUCUCUCUCGCUUUUCUUUAUCAAUUAAAUGAGGUGUGAACAAGGGCGGACCCACGUUAGAGUUAGAUGAACCCCCUGAAAAAAAAAAUUCCCACUUACCCCCUUGUAUAAUAUAUUUUUUGAACCCCUUGAAAAAUUUAAUUUGCACAAAAGACCCUCUCUCUCUCAGACACGCACUCACCACUCAGCCCCUCAUUCCUCACCCUCUUUCUCUCACAACCCUAGGUCAAGCACACACACACGCACCAGAGCACCACCGGCCACCACCACGCCACCACCAGUCCACCACGCACCCUGCGCUGCGCCUCUGCCUCUGGGAUCGAUGUUGGUAGCCUUGCCUCCGUCGCGGUUACGAAUGCUUCCGUGUUGAAGCUGGUUGUCAACAAUGGGGAAAAGAUCAACGCGUUGGUUGAUUACGAGGCUGGUUCGAAAACGUUGGAGGUUCGUUUGAGCAAAUUGGGUGAACCCAGAUCUUAAGAUCCAAUCGUUUCGCACCGCAUUGAUCUGUUCAACCUCUGAGAUCGCAAACCUGUGUUCGUGGUUCCAACUGAAGGAAUGAAAGGCGGCUUGGCCAUUCCGUGGAGGAAAAACGCUUUGGUGAUUAAUAGGGUGGUAAAAAAUCAAAGGUUUUUUGGCAGUGAUUCUGAAUGAAGUUGUGUUCUGUUUCAAUAAUUGUGAGAGUGGCAGUGGGUAGUUGGAAGGAACACUGAUUUAUGUGUUGAUUGCAUUUGUGCUGCUGCAACUUGAAGGAAAUCUGAUUUGUGUUUUUGAAUGCUCAUACGCUGCUGCAACUGGGAGGAAUUCUGGUUUGUGUUUUUUUAUUGCAGAUUUGCUGACAGAUUUAUGUACUUGAUGGAGAGGCUAGAAAGGGUUGCAGGUCCUCAUAUUAAUUGCUGAGUUCAAGGGUGAGAGGACUGCCAAAGAUUUGUUACAAUGGUUAUGAAUUGGGAUGUUAGAAUCUUGAGGAUUAUGCAGAAAUCUCGCGGGCAAUGGAGAGUGGAAGAGUGGCUUUGGUAUUGGUUGGCUACUGGGGUGCUUGUGGUGCUGUUCAUGUGGGUCAUCUUCUUCCACAAGCAUGAGGAAGAGUCUCUGGCUAAACUCCCUAACUACCCUGCAGAUGUAAGGUAUGAGAGAAUUGAUGUGUCUGUUGAGAAGCAUACAAAAGAUGAUGAAAAUUAGAGGCAUAGGUUAUGUGAUUUGUGAUUUUUUAGAUGAUGUUGUUCUUGUUGUUGUUGUGUAUCUGUAUGAUGUGUAAAAUUCUUUUGUAGGAGAUUAUGAUUAUGAUAUUGUAGAUUUACUGUAACCAAUCAUGUAAAAUAUUUGAACAUCUUGUUUUGGGAGCCACUUUGAUUACAAUCUUGUUUAUCAAUUUUUGCA